CCGCUGGCGCCACUCCUUCGAUCUCGCUUCUUCUUCUUCACUUCUCUGCAACACACAAAGACAAGCAGCAAGUAAAAGAGAAACAAGGGAAAGUCAGAGGAAAGAGAAACAAGGAGAGUUAGAGAAGGGGAAAAGGUGUCCUCGGGACACUUUGGCUCAGAUUUUCCCACAGUAGGCAGGGCCCUUCCAGCAGCUCAAUGAUCACGGUUCAAAGGGAACAGGAGAUACAGAUCAGCACCCCAAUCUCGAUUGCACAGCCACCAGCAGCAGGAAUCCGAUGG
Molecule: long non-coding RNA, 281 nt
Filed under: Salvia miltiorrhiza (redroot sage)
Lineage: Eukaryota; Viridiplantae; Streptophyta; Magnoliopsida; Lamiales; Lamiaceae
Description: long non-coding RNA (SMIL_LNC008761)
Source: RNAcentral